RNAcentral lists this ribosomal RNA (328 nucleotides) under uncultured eukaryote. RNAcentral's name for it is "partial 18S ribosomal RNA". It matches the Rfam family "Eukaryotic small subunit ribosomal RNA", at positions 1470 to 1796 of the family's 1831-position model. The record is from RNAcentral.
CCCUUAGAUGUCCGGGGCUGCACGCGCGCUACACUGAAGGAAUCAGCGUGCUAAAACCAUUGUCGAAAGGCAUUGGUAAACCCAUUAAAAUCCUACGUGAUUGGGAUCGGGAAUUGCAAUUAUUUCCCUUGAACGAGGAAUUCCCAGUAAGUGUGGGUCAUAAGCUCGCGUUGAUUACGUCCCUGCCCUUUGUACACACCGCCCGUCGCUGCCCGGGACUGAGCCGUUUCGAGAAAAGCGGGGACUGCUGCUGUCGGGGCUUUCGGGCCUUGGCUUCAGUGGAAACCGCUUUAAUCGCAGUGGCUUGAACCGGGCAAAAGUCGUAACA